This is a long non-coding RNA of Fukomys damarensis (Damara mole-rat), 170 nucleotides long. RefSeq lists it as uncharacterized. Lineage: Eukaryota; Metazoa; Chordata; Mammalia; Rodentia; Bathyergidae. The transcript has 2 exons. The record is from RefSeq and is a predicted model, not a curated record.
GCCUGGCCUCGACCCGGCAGUGCCUGUGCCCCCUGCGCCCCCCAGAGCCCUAGUCCUGUGCACCACUCACUCUCCGUUGGUGAACAGCUCGGGUUGUAUUCCGGAACCGAAGCUGCUCAUUCAUCACACUGCUGCCACGACGCGUCUAUGAGCUUCCAGCAGUUCAGAGG